GACGAACGCUGGCGGCGUGCCUAACACAUGCAAGUCGAACGGAACUGCUUUGAAAGAUUUCUUUGGAAGGAAUCUGAUUUAGUUUAGUGGCGGACGGGAGAGUAACCCGUGAGUAACCUGCCUUCAAGAGGGGAAUAACAUUCUGAAAAGAAUGCUAAUACCGCAUGACAUAUCGGAACCACAUGGUUUUGAUAUCAAAUAUUUUAUCGCUUGAAGAUGGACUUGCUUCCGAUUAGUUAGUUGGUGAGGUAACGGCUCACCAAGAGCGCGAUCGGUAGCCGGACUGAGAGGUUGAGCGGCCACAUUGGGAGUGAGGCACGGCCCAGACUCCUACGGGAGGCGGCGGUGGGGGAUAUUGCGCAAUGGGGGCAAGCCUGACGCAGCAACGCCGCGUGAAGGAGGAAGGUUUUCGGAUAGUAGACUUCUUUUAUUAAGGACGAAAAAUGACGGUACUUAAUGAAUAAGCUCCGGCUAACUACGUG
Molecule: ribosomal RNA, 482 nt
Filed under: uncultured bacterium
Lineage: Bacteria
Description: partial 16S ribosomal RNA
Rfam family: Bacterial small subunit ribosomal RNA
Source: RNAcentral